Molecule: ribosomal RNA, 235 nt
Filed under: uncultured Lactobacillus sp.
Lineage: Bacteria; Bacillati; Bacillota; Bacilli; Lactobacillales; Lactobacillaceae
Description: partial 16S ribosomal RNA
Rfam family: Bacterial small subunit ribosomal RNA
Source: RNAcentral
UGCCCAAGAGAUCGGGAUAACACCUGGAAACAGAUGCUAAUACCGGAUAACAACAGAUGAUGUCUAUCAACUGUUUAAAAGAUGGUUCUGCUAUCACUCUUGGAUGGACCUGCGGUGCAUUAGCUAGUUGAUAGGGUAACGGCCUACCAAGGCGAUGAUGCAUAGCCGAGUUGAGAGACUGAUCGGCCACAUUGGGACUGAGACACGGCCCAAACUCCUACGGGAGGCAGCAGAC